CGUUUCUACCAGAAGCUAUUAUUGGUUCAGGCCAGGCCUGCCCAACCUGUUUGUUUCUCAUUCGGAGGAAUCCAUCUCCUUCGGGUGUCUAGUUGUUUCUUAACAUCCCACCUGGUUAAAGCGCGACGGAUGGAGUGAGACAGAGAGGUGAGAGCAGAGUCGGCAUUGUGUGGAGACGGCCUCUUCACUGUUUAUUGAGACGCUGUCAGUAGAAAUAUUAGGUCAGACAGUUUGGACAAGGUGUCGAGGCAUCUGUCGGAGGAUAAGGUCUAUUUUUAAAGGAGCAACGUCAUAGCCUUCAAAUAAGGAAGCAGCCUGCAGAGCUGCUGAGGAGUUUCUACAACAUUUUACGAUAAACUUUUGGAAAAAAGAAGACUGAGUGGAGGCAAAAAUGGAGACGAGGAGGAAAGGAGAGAUGGGGAAGACGGGGAAGGUUUCACGGAUCUUUUUGCUGCUGCUGGUUCUGCUCAAAAUAACCACACCCUCCUCUGCUCAAAACAGCACCACUGCUUCAGCACCGAACCCUGCUGCUCUCAGUUAUCGCACACGUCCAGCUAACCUCACAGUGGCUGUGGGAGAAUCUGCAGAGUUUCGCUGUGGAGUGCCUAAGUCUUCUCCAAACAUCACAUUCACCAUCUAUAGGAGUCACGGCAACUACAGUCUCAUCUGUCCUUCUGGCCACCUAGAAGAUAUCCCCCAGGCUCUCUAUGGAAGUUGUGAUAUGACGGACGAAGAGUCAGUGGCUGUGUGGACCCUCAAGGGAACUUCAUUCUCUGACAAUGGAGCAAGCUUUAUUUGUCAGCAGUCAAACAAUCCCGAUGCAGCUACUGCCACCCUACACGUUUAUGAUGACGGCACCAGCUAUGCAACUCUCAUUGGCUGUGUCAUUGGGGGCUUCUUCGGCAUGCUGUUGGUGGCUGGUUUAUCAUUUCUAAUGCUGCGCAGAUCUGAGACCCUCCAGAAGUGCUUUUGGGGGGGAGAUACGGAAGAUGAUUUGAACACAAUGGUAACCAAGGAGUAAAAGGACACAGACAGCAGGGGGAGACUGUGUUGUUGCUGAUGUUGCUUUGUUAAACAUAUCCAGGGUUUGGCUCCAUUCACCUUCUAACUGGGAAUAGAAAAGGAAAUUAGCAGGUUUCUAUUUUAAAGUCAUUUCACUGAUCUAAGUGAGGUGAAAACUGGAUGGAACCUAAAUCUAAUCUAAGGAGGGAUCCAGUCUGACCCCCAACACAUUCCUUCCUCCUUCUGCCCUCAAGACCCUACACACAUUACUCAUAGCCUCAAGUUGUAUAAUAUAUCAAGCACUACAAAUAAUUCACAGAAAAAACUUAAGUCAGGUCUCUCUCCCCACUUAUAUCAAUAUGCACUGCCUUUAUUGUAUAUAAAUGAAAUGUAAAAUUAUUGGUGUUAGUGAAUUGUUUAAAUGCUCAUUAGUUUUUGGCCACAUGUAGUAAACAAGUUAAUAAUGUCCUGCUGCAGCCGGAGCACCAAUAAGAUCACAGAGGUCAUGUCCUUGGUAUUUUUUUCUGGGUCUUUAAUAUCUUAAUAUACAUAAUGUGGUAAUAAUCAUAAUAACUUAUAACAUCUAUCAUGCCAUUGAAAUAAGCAGUUAUAUAUAUUUUAAAAUGGCAUAUAUAUAUAGUGAAUUAAACUUUAGUUAAUACCAACAAACUAUUGAAGGUCAAACACUUACUGAUGGAGGUCCCAGUUGCGCUUGUUUAGGCAUGUUAGUCAGCUAUACUGUCACAGCUUGUCCACUUGAGGGAAGCACUUACUCCACAGAUAAUAAGCAGGACAGUUGUCUUAACACAACAGAGACAAAUAUUCACUGGAUUAAAAAAAUUUGUUUUUGUCAACUAACUAAAUUAAAAACGAAAAUAUUGCUAUUCCUUUAUUUGGGAUGAGGUGAGGUAGAUGUCAUUAUGUUGUCAGGCUGAGUGUUUGUACAGAUUUGCAUUGAGAAGUAAAUUGUCCUGAUGUGGUUUGAUGUUGUUGUACAGUCAUGGUCUUGCAUAAAGGCAAAGUAAAGUAGCUUUUAUUUCAACUGUUACCAAAGGUAAACUCAGGGAUGUUUGUGUUUUCAUGCUGGUACUGAUAUUUGUGCGCUCCAUUCCGUCCUUAAAUUUCGUGGUAUAUUUCUUAGUUAUGAUGAUGUACUUUGCUCUUGUUUAUUGUUCAUUCUUAUUGUUGAGACUUGCAAAUCAGAGCUUGCUGUCAGUGUAUGGCCUUUGAAAAAAACAUUAAAGUUACAUGAUGUCAAAAAGAGUGUGCUUACAA
Molecule: long non-coding RNA, 2277 nt
Filed under: Sparus aurata (gilthead seabream)
Lineage: Eukaryota; Metazoa; Chordata; Actinopteri; Spariformes; Sparidae
Description: lncRNA (ENSSAUG00010019142.1)
Source: RNAcentral